This 528-nucleotide ribosomal RNA is filed under the name Mantidactylus tripunctatus. Its description in RNAcentral is "partial 16S ribosomal RNA". It matches the Rfam family "Bacterial large subunit ribosomal RNA", at positions 1854 to 2597 of the family's 2925-position model. The record is from RNAcentral. Lineage: Eukaryota; Metazoa; Chordata; Amphibia; Anura; Mantellidae.
CUAGCCUGCCCAGUGACAAAGUUUAACGGCCACGGUAUCCUAACCGUGCGAAGGUAGCAUAAUCACUUGUUCUUUAAAUGAGGACUUGUAUCAACGGCAUCACGAGGGUUAUACUGUCUCCUUUUUCUAAUCAGUGAAACUAAUCUUCCCGUGAAGAAGCGGGAAUACUCCCAUAAGACGAGAAGACCCCAUGGAGCUUCAAACCCAAUUACACCCCUAACCCAUAUAACUAUUUAACCCUUAGGGCCCUGUACCAUUGGUUUUAGGUUGGGGCGACCACGGAGUACAACAAAACCUCCACAAUGAACGGAACUACUCCCUCAUCUAAGAGCUACACCUCUAAGAAUUAAAAUAUUAAUAUAAAAUGAUCCAUUUUUUGAUCAAUGAACCAAGUUACCCUGGGGAUAACAGCGCAAUCCAUUUCAAGAGCCCCUAUCGACAAAUGGGUUUACGACCUCGAUGUUGGAUCAGGGUAUCCUAGUGGUGCAGCAGCUACUGAAGGUUCGUUUGUUCAACGAUCAAAACCCU